RNAcentral lists this ribosomal RNA (253 nucleotides) under uncultured bacterium. RNAcentral describes it as "partial 16S ribosomal RNA". It matches the Rfam family "Bacterial small subunit ribosomal RNA", at positions 524 to 776 of the family's 1533-position model. The record is from RNAcentral.
UACGGAGGGAGCUAGCGUUGUUCGGAAUUACUGGGCGUAAAGCGCGCGUAGGCGGCUUUGUAAGUUAGAGGUGAAAGCCCGGGGCUCAACCCCGGAAUUGCCUUUAAGACUGCAUCGCUUGAAUCUGGGAGAGGUGAGUGGAAUUCCGAGUGUAGAGGUGAAAUUCGUAGAUAUUCGGGAGAACACCAGUGGCGAAGGCGGCUCACUGGACCGGCAUUGACGCUGAGGUGCGAAAGCGUGGGGAGCAAACAGG